Molecule: ribosomal RNA, 275 nt
Filed under: uncultured bacterium
Lineage: Bacteria
Description: partial 16S ribosomal RNA
Rfam family: Bacterial small subunit ribosomal RNA
Source: RNAcentral
GCGUGAGUGAUGAAGGCCCUAGGGUUGUAAAGCUCUUUUACCCGGGAAGAUAGUGACUGUACCGGGAGAAUAAGCCCCGGCUAACUCCGUGCCAGCAGCCGCGGUAAUACGGAGGGGGCUAGCGUUGUUCGGAAUUACUGGGCGUAAAGCGCACGUAGGCGGCGUCGUAAGUCAGAGGUGAAAGCCCGGGGCUCAACCCCGGAUGUGCCUUUGAGACUGCAACGCUAGAAGGUGAGAGAGGUGAGUGGAAUUCCGAGUGUAGAGGUGAAAUUCGU